Molecule: non-coding RNA, 127 nt
Organism: Hordeum vulgare subsp. vulgare (domesticated barley)
Lineage: Eukaryota; Viridiplantae; Streptophyta; Magnoliopsida; Poales; Poaceae
Source: Rfam
CUUAUACUCCCUCUGUCCCAAUUUUUUUGUCUUAGAUUUGUCUAGAUAUGAAUGUUUUGGUAUUUAUAUACAUUCAUUUCUAGACAAACCUCCUAAGACAAGAAUUUUGGGACGGAGGGAGUAGGAG